GCCGGGAUGGCGGAAUUGGUAGACGCGCCUGACUUAGGAUCAGGUGAGCUAGCUUGUGCAGGUUCGAGUCCUGUUCCCGGUA
RNAcentral lists this transfer RNA (82 nucleotides) under Alphaproteobacteria bacterium. RNAcentral describes it as "tRNA-Leu". It matches the Rfam family "tRNA". Rfam says of the family: Transfer RNA (tRNA) molecules are approximately 80 nucleotides in length. Their secondary structure includes four short double-helical elements and three loops (D, anti-codon, and T loops). RNAcentral also lists the same sequence under 1 other name. Lineage: Bacteria; Pseudomonadati; Pseudomonadota; Alphaproteobacteria. The record is from RNAcentral.